Molecule: unclassified non-coding RNA, 520 nt
Filed under: uncultured Glomus
Lineage: Eukaryota; Fungi; Glomeromycota; Glomeromycetes; Glomerales; Glomeraceae
Description: SSU rRNA
Rfam family: Eukaryotic small subunit ribosomal RNA
Source: RNAcentral
AGCAGCCGCGGUAAUUCCAGCUCCAAUAGCGUAUAUUAAAGUUGCUGCAGUUAAAAAGCUCGUAGUUGAAUUUCGGGACUAAUAUGUCGGUCGUGCCUCGGUACGUACUGGCAUUGUUGGUUUCUACCUUCUGACGAACCAUGAUGUCAUUUAUUUGGUGUCGUGGGAAAUCAGGACUGUUACUUUGAAAAAAUUAGAGUGUUUAAAGCAGGCUCACGCUUGAAUACAUUAGCAUGGAAUAAUGAAAUAGGACGUUUGAUUCUAUUUUGUUGGUUUCUAGGAUCGACGUAAUGAUUAAUAGGGAUAGUUGGGGGCAUUAGUAUUCAAUUGUCAGAGGUGAAAUUCUUGGAUUUAUUGAAGACUAACUACUGCGAAAGCAUUUGCCAAGGAUGUUUUCAUUAAUCAAGAACGAAAGUUAGAGGAUCGAAGACGAUCAGAUACCGUCGUAGUCUUAACCAUAAACUAUGCCGACUAGGGAUCGGAUGAUGUUAAUUUUUUAAUGACUCAUUCGGCGCCUUAC